GUCCACGCCCUAAACGAUGUUCACUCGAUCUCGGCGAUACACAGUCGGGGUCUAUGCAAAGCAUUAAGUGAACCACCUGGGGAGUACGAUCGCAAGAUUGAAACUCAAAGGAAUUGACGGGGUCCGCACAAGCGGUGGAGCAUGUGGUUCAAUUCGAUGGUACGCGAGGAACCUUACCUGGGCUAGAAUGCAAGUGGAAUACCGCUGAAAGGCGGUAGGCUCGCAAGAGACCGCUUGUAAGGUGCUGCAUGGCUGUCGU
This 259-nucleotide ribosomal RNA is filed under the name uncultured bacterium. RNAcentral describes it as "partial 16S ribosomal RNA". It matches the Rfam family "Bacterial small subunit ribosomal RNA", at positions 793 to 1055 of the family's 1533-position model. The record is from RNAcentral.